AGAAUCAACGCUGGCGGCGUGCCUAACACAUGCAAGUCGCACGAGAAAGGGACUUCGGUCCUAAGUACAGUGGCGCACGGGUGAGUAACACGUGAAUUAUCUACCUCCGAGUGGGGAAUAACUGAGAGAAAUCUUAGCUAAUACCGCAUAACACUUACGAGUCAAAGCAGCAAUGCGCUUGGAGAGGAGUUCGCGGCAGAUUAGUUAGUUGGCGGGGUAAUGGCCCACCAAGACGAUGAUCUGUAUCCGGCCUGAGAGGGCGCACGGACACACUGGAACUGAAACACGGUCCAGACUCCUACGGAGGCAGCAGUGGGGAAUUUUGCGCAAUGGGGGAAACCCUGACGCAGCAACGCCGCGUGGAGGAUGAAAUAUCUUGGUAUGUAAACUCCUUUCGAUGGGAAGAUAAUGACGGUACCAUAGAAGAAGCCCGGCUAACUCGUGCCAGCAGCCGC
This 455-nucleotide ribosomal RNA is filed under the name uncultured bacterium. RNAcentral describes it as "SSU rRNA". It matches the Rfam family "Bacterial small subunit ribosomal RNA", at positions 26 to 518 of the family's 1533-position model. The record is from RNAcentral.